AGGGUUCGAUUCUGGCUCAGGAUGAACGCUGGCGGCGUGCUUAACACAUGCAAGUCGAACGGGAUCCAUCAGGCUUUGCUUGGUGGUGAGAGUGGCGAACGGGUGAGUAAUGCGUGACCGACCUGCCCCAUGCACCGGAAUAGCUCCUGGAAACGGGUGGUAAUGCCGGAUGCUCCAUCACAUCGCAUGGUGUGUUGGGAAAGCCUUUGCGGCAUGGGAUGGGGUCGCGUCCUAUCAGCUUGAUGGCGGGGUAACGGCCCACCAUGGCUUCGACGGGUAGCCGGCCUGAGAGGGCGACCGGCCACAUUGGGACUGAGAUACGGCCCAGACUCCUACGGGAGGCAGCAGUGGGGAAUAUUGCACAAUGGGCGCAAGCCUGAUGCAGCGACGCCGCGUGAGGGAUGGAGGCCUUCGGGUUGUAAACCUCUUUUGUUAGGGAGCAAGGCACUUUGUGUUGAGUGUACCUUUCGAAUAAGCACCGGCUAACUACGUGCCAGCAGCCGCGGUAAUACGUAGGGUGCAAGCGUUAUCCGGAAUUAUUGGGCGUAAAGGGCUCGUAGGCGGUUCGUCGCGUCCGGUGUGAAAGUCCAUCGCUUAACGGUGGAUCCGCGCCGGGUACGGGCGGGCUUGAGUGCGGUAGGGGAGACUGGAAUUCCCGGUGUAACGGUGGAAUGUGUAGAUAUCGGGAAGAACACCAAUGGCGAAGGCAGGUCUCUGGGCCGUUACUGACGCUGAGGAGCGAAAGCGUGGGGAGCGAACAGGAUUAGAUACCCUGGUAGUCCACGCCGUAAACGGUGGAUGCUGGAUGUGGGGCCCGUUCCACGGGUUCCGUGUCGGAGCUAACGCGUUAAGCAUCCCGCCUGGGGAGUACGGCCGCAAGGCUAAAACUCAAAGAAAUUGACGGGGGCCCGCAC
RNAcentral lists this ribosomal RNA (914 nucleotides) under human gut metagenome. RNAcentral describes it as "bacterial SSU rRNA". It matches the Rfam family "Bacterial small subunit ribosomal RNA", at positions 8 to 926 of the family's 1533-position model. The record is from RNAcentral.